GAUGAACGCUGGCGGCGUGCCUAAUACAUGCAAGUCGAGCGAACGGACGAGAAGCUUGCUUCUCUGAUGUUAGCGGCGGACGGGUGAGUAACACGUGGAUAACCUACCUAUAAGACUGGGAUAACUUCGGGAAACCGGAGCUAAUACCGGAUGAUAUUUUGAACCGCAUGGUUCAAAAGUGAAAGACGGUCUUGCUGUCACUUAUAGAUGGAUCCGCGCUGCAUUAGCUAGUUGGUAAGGUAACGGCUUACCAAGGCAACGAUGCAUAGCCGACCUGGGAGGGUGAUCGGCCACACUGGAACUGAGACACGGUCCAGACUCCUACGGGAGGCAGCAGUAGGGAAUCUUCCGCAAUGGGAGAAAGCCUGACGGAGCAACGCCGCGUGAGUGAUGAAGGUCUUCGGAUCGUAAAACUCUGUUAUUAGGGAAGAACAUAUGUGUAAGUAACUGUGCACAUCUUGACGGUACCUAAUCAGAAAGCCACGGCUAACUACGUG
This 497-nucleotide ribosomal RNA is filed under the name uncultured bacterium. RNAcentral describes it as "partial 16S ribosomal RNA". It matches the Rfam family "Bacterial small subunit ribosomal RNA", at positions 28 to 507 of the family's 1533-position model. The record is from RNAcentral.